Molecule: ribosomal RNA, 229 nt
Filed under: uncultured bacterium
Lineage: Bacteria
Description: partial 16S ribosomal RNA
Rfam family: Bacterial small subunit ribosomal RNA
Source: RNAcentral
UGAGCAACCUGCCCUUGACUCCGGAAUAACAGCUGGAAACAGCUGCUAAUACCGGAUACGACCUCCGAUGGCAUCAUCUGGAGGUGGAAAGCUCCGGCGGAGAAGGAUGAGCUCGCGGCCUAUCAGCUAGUUGGUGUGGGUAACGGCCCACCAAGGCGACGACGGGUAGCCGGCCUGAGAGGGUGACCGGCCACACUGGGACUGAGACACGGCCCAGACUCCGUAGGGA